UAGAGUUUGAUCCUGGCUCAGAUUGAACGCUAGCGGGAUGCCUUACCAUGCAAGUCGAACGGCAGCACGGACUUCGGUCUGGUGGCGAGUGGCGAACGGGUGAGUAUGUAUCGGAACGUGCCCAGUAGCGGGGGAUACUACGCGAAGCGUAGCUAAACCGCAUACGCCCUACGGGGAAAGCAGGGGAUCGCAGACCUUGCCUAUUGAGCGGCCGAUUCGGAUUACUAGUUGGUGGGUACGGCUCACAAGGCGACGAUCCUAACUGGUUUGAAAGGACACCAGCCCCCUGGGACUGAAACCGGCCCAAAUCCUACGGAGGCACCAUGGGGAAUUUGGAAAAGGGGGAAACCC
Molecule: ribosomal RNA, 351 nt
Filed under: uncultured bacterium
Lineage: Bacteria
Description: bacterial SSU rRNA
Rfam family: Bacterial small subunit ribosomal RNA
Source: RNAcentral